GUGUCAUAAUAAAGGUUACCAAAGUUGAAACUCAGUUGUUAGAAAUUUCAUGGGAAAAUAAAUUAAGAAGAGAGUUUCGUCUCAGUGAACGCUGAACAGAGUUAAAAAUAAUUGCCCAAUUAUUGAGCAUAUGGUCUGAAUAUAAAGCAGCACGUUCCUCCCAAGGGAGUUUGGUCUGAGGUAACAGGGUUAAAAAUAAUUGCCCGAUUAGUGAGCACAUGGUUUGAACUUUGAAUAUAAAGCAGCACAUUCCUCCCAAAGGAGUUUGGUCUGAGGCAGGCUGAAGCAUAGUUUAUUAGUCAGGGUGCAAAAGCCGAUGUACAUUACCAAACAUAAAUUCAUUCAUACGACCAUAUAUAAUACUGUGGUCGGUCAACCUUUCAACUCGGAAGGUACCAUGAAAGUUUAGAAGACCGUCAACUAUUAUCUUAGACGGUGUUGCUGUUCUGGAGAAAUCUCAUUCGAGUUUGUAUGACUUGGGAGUUUUGAGUAUAAACCCAGCAGUCGACCUAUCUAGAGGAGAGAGGAGAAGAGAAAGAUUGAGAUCGAGAUUAUAUGAAAAAGAAACAAGGAGGACAAGUAAAAAAGGAAUAUACAGCUGGUGAGGUGUGGUGUGGUGAGGAGAUGAAAUAGUGAAGGGGCUGAGCAAGGAAAAGACGUUCUUUGCCUCUUUAGUAUUCAUGUGUUCGAACAAGCUGCGUUUUCAGGCAACUUCUAUCUUUAUGACAACUCAUGGGUUGUCGAGUUGUCGAUAUGGUAACUAUAAAACUCAGAGCAUAAUGAAUUCUUGUUUGA
Rosa rugosa (rugosa rose) is the source of this 795-nucleotide long non-coding RNA. RefSeq lists it as uncharacterized. The record is from RefSeq and is a predicted model, not a curated record. Lineage: Eukaryota; Viridiplantae; Streptophyta; Magnoliopsida; Rosales; Rosaceae. The transcript is spliced from 3 exons.